UUCAAAGUCAUCGGGGAGUAGCCACCGGAAACGGGGGCGCAUCAACAUACUCGCGUCAAUGCGUGGUGCGUCCGGCGGGCAUGACCGUU
This 89-nucleotide small RNA is filed under the name Mesorhizobium sp. Its description in RNAcentral is "Manganese sequence". It matches the Rfam family "Manganese Mn2+ riboswitch aptamer (yybP-ykoY)". Rfam says of the family: This RNA was originally discovered in E. coli during a large scale screen and was named SraF. The family was later found to exist upstream of related families of protein genes in many bacteria, including the the yybP and ykoK genes in B. subtilis. The specific functions of these proteins are unknown, but this structured RNA element may be involved in their genetic regulation as a riboswitch. The record is from RNAcentral. Lineage: Bacteria; Pseudomonadati; Pseudomonadota; Alphaproteobacteria; Hyphomicrobiales; Phyllobacteriaceae.